This 490-nucleotide ribosomal RNA is filed under the name uncultured bacterium. RNAcentral describes it as "partial 16S ribosomal RNA". It matches the Rfam family "Bacterial small subunit ribosomal RNA", at positions 30 to 507 of the family's 1533-position model. The record is from RNAcentral.
AUUGAACGCUGGCGGCAGGCCUAACACAUGCAAGUCGAACGGUAACAGGAAGAAGCUUGCUUCUUUGCUGACGAGUGGCGGACGGGUGAGUAAUGUCUGGGAUACUGCCUGCUGGAGGGGGAUAACUCCUGGAAACGGUAGCUAAUACCGCAUAACGUCGCAAGCCCAAAGAGGGGGACCUUCGGGCCUCUUGCCAUCGGAUGUGCCCAGAUGGGAUUAGCUAGUAGGUGGGGUAACGGCUCACCUAGGCCACGAUCCCUAGCUGGUCUGAGAGGAUGACCAGCCACACUGGAACUGAGACACGGUCCAGACUCCUACGGGAGGCAGCAGUGGGGAAUAUUGCACAAUGGGCGGAAGCCUGAUGCAGCCAUGCCGCGUGGAUGAAGAAGGCCUUCGGGUUGUAAAGUACUUUCAGCGGGGAGGAAGGGAGUAAAGUUAAUACCUGUGCUCAUUGACGUUACCCGCAGAAGAAGCACCGGCUAACUACGUG